AGCAGGAGGGCGGAGAGCGGCGAACCGGGCCAGGGACUCAUGCUGGCAAGGCCCUUAGGAGAAGUGGGGAAGGCACGCGAGCCAAAGCACUGAAGGCGGGGACUGAGGCCACAGCUGCUGUGCUAGUGCCUUAAAAUAGAGGUGCUGGAAACCGGCAACCCGGAGGGGGGCGGGGUCUCGGGGCCGCGGGGGCUGGGCGCCUGCUAGUGGCACCGCCCCUUAGGUAGGGGCCUCUGGAGAGCGCGCCCGUCACCUGGCGGCCGUCGGACCUCAGGCCCAGAGAGCCCAGCACCAGGUUCAGUUGCCAAGGGACACCUCCAAAGAGGACUGCAGAGCCACAGCUGGUCUGUGCGCGCCCCAGACUGCGCUCCUUCGCUCCUUGAGAAGUAACAGAGAGAGAGAGAGAGACUAAGAGAAAAAGAGAGAGGAAGAGACAGAGAGGAGAGCUGAGACUGCAAGGUAAACCAGCUGAAUUCCAAUGCAUGGCAUACGGCUCUGAGAAGAGAUGAAUCUAAAGAACGAUUUCAUUUCUGACAGAACAUUAGAAGAAGGUAUUGCUGUCAUCACAGCAGAAACACGUAAGGAGCAGCAACUUCAAAGCUGUAAAUCCACUUCCUGAAAAGCGAAUUUGGAAACAAGAUCUAUACAAAGAUGAGCAUUACAUACAAUGCAAGAGUUUGGUAUAUUUAUUUUUUUCAGCUUCAUGUAUGAUGAAAAAAAAUCUGUGUAUCUGAAAUACACAAAACAUGAUGCCCAUGGGGCUUUCCUGCAGUAUUUAGGAAAGAGGAACGCUUACAGAAUUGUAUUUGGCUCUAUCAAGCAAUGUUUUGGUGGAAAAUGACCAACAAGUUUAAUUUCUCUCAAAUGGGAAUCAUUCUGCCUCACUUCCUGGGAAGGAAAGCUAUAUAAAAAAAAAAGGAGUUAUGAACUGGGCUCUUAAUGCAUUUUUACUGCAUCCAUUGGAUGAAUGAAGAGAACUUCAAAGGCCUGCAGGAGAGACAAGAUAAAAGGAUCUUGGGUACCUGAGUGACUGUGUGGAGCAGAGACCAUCCAUUGACCUGCACUUCAAUGUCAAGUGAGAAACAAACUCUAUUUUGAGGGCUUUACCAGGCUGGAUGGAAGAAGGAAAGACCAUCAGUAAAGCAAAUGGCUCAAGUGGAGUUAUAAAUCAACUCUGUACUCUUCAGAGCAUUUAUUCAACUGAAGACAUAUCCAAAUUUAAAUCUCAACAACUGGAUCAAUUGGAAUCUAAGGGAUGAUGACCUUUUCUGACCCUCAUGACUUCAAUCAACUAGAGCUUGGACUCUGUCAUCCAAGCCCCUUCAUGAAUAUGCAUGUACCAAUAGCUUAAACUUCCCCAGUUUCGCUGUUCAGAGAGCCACUUCUUUGGGAAAAAUCCCUGGUAUUCUCCUUACUUGCAGCAAGUAAUAAGUCCUUCUCCAGCAAUCUGGCUUGGUUGUGUCUUUUGGCGACACCACCAAGAGGCUAACCCAGUUUUCAGGUAACAUUUCUACAUAAUUGAGCCUAAUUUAUACUUAUUCAUAUUUUUCUAUAUACACAGCAUUUAUUAUAUAUACAUAGUAAAAUGUGAUACAUUGUAUAAGAGGAAAGAUUUGAGUAGCAAGGAUUCCUAAGCUGGUUUGGGGAGAGGGUGAAGAAAACUUAGGAAGUCAUCUGAGCUGGACUUUAAAGCUUUUUAAAGGAGGACCGGACUUCCCUGGUGGCGCAGUGGUUGGGAGUCCGCCUGCCGAUG
This is a non-coding RNA of Delphinapterus leucas (beluga whale), 1753 nucleotides long. The record is from RefSeq and is a predicted model, not a curated record. Lineage: Eukaryota; Metazoa; Chordata; Mammalia; Artiodactyla; Monodontidae.